GUAUUCUCCACUUUUAUUAUCAAACUUGGAGACAACGCUCGACUAGUAUCCCACUCUAUAUAAAGGGGGGCACAGGGGACUCUCAAAUAAUUUUUUUUUCCGAGAACAAAUCUAUAUUCUCUCACUCUCAUAUCCUUUCUGCUAUUGUUCUCAAAUUCUGACUGAAACAUCGAAGGAUCCUCACUAAAAAAUCUUCGACGAAAGUGGACUUCAUUUAUAGACUCCUCAAGGAGUCUUAAUCCUCAAAUUGAGACUGACCACU
This 262-nucleotide long non-coding RNA is filed under the name Elaeis guineensis (African oil palm). RNAcentral describes it as "long non-coding RNA (EGUI_LNC036750)". Lineage: Eukaryota; Viridiplantae; Streptophyta; Magnoliopsida; Arecales; Arecaceae. The record is from RNAcentral.